This 290-nucleotide unclassified non-coding RNA is filed under the name air metagenome. RNAcentral describes it as "partial contains small subunit ribosomal RNA, internal transcribed spacer 1, and 5.8S ribosomal RNA". The stretch from base 1 to 46 matches the Rfam family "Eukaryotic small subunit ribosomal RNA", at positions 1786 to 1831 of the family's 1831-position model. The record is from RNAcentral.
AAGUCGUAACAAGGUUUCCGUAGGUGAACCUGCGGAAGGAUCAUUAACGAGUUCUGACUUGGGUUGUCGCUGGUCCUCCGGGACAUGUGCACGCUCUAGCUCAUCCACUCACCCCUGUGCACCCCUGUAGUUGUUUAUCUCAAAGGACGUUUGCGAAGGCUUCACGGCUGGACCACUCUUCCCGCGAAUAGACUCUACGUCUUUUUUAUACACGCAUAAAGUCUAAGAAUGUAAACCUUUGCUAUAAAACGCAUUAAAUACAACUUUCAACAACGGAUCUCUUGGCUCUC